Molecule: non-coding RNA, 3450 nt
Organism: Paramisgurnus dabryanus
Lineage: Eukaryota; Metazoa; Chordata; Actinopteri; Cypriniformes; Cobitidae
Source: RefSeq, a predicted model, not a curated record
UUUUACCCGCUGCAUGUAAAUUAACUGCUUGCCCUGCAUUAAAGACUUGUAAAUGCACAACGCUGAGGCAAAGAACCCCAAACCCCAUUUAAAAUCCUUUAAUGCACAGCAAGUCAUUGAUUAUCCCACUUAUUCCACGGUCAUUUGCCAAGUUAUAGACAAGUUAAAACUAGUUUUGCUCUUUGUAGCUUAAAAUUUGAUAGAAUGGGUAAAAAUAACAGUUAUUUCCAGGAGCUCCUCUUUUUUGUAAACAACUGAUCUGUCUUUUAUAAAUCUGAUAUAAAAGACUCUUCUGAGAUUUGAAGGAUGCACACUACUAUUCGAUAGGUAGGCUACUCAAGUUUAACCAAACUGUUCGUGGACCCCGUUUACUUCCAUAGUAUUACUUUUCCAAUUCCUGCUAUAGAAGUGAAUGGGAUCCAAAGACAUUUAUGCAGGUUUGUAACAACAUGAGGGUGAGUAAAUGAUGACAGAGUUUUCAUUUUUGGGUGAACUAUUUAACCUUUUAUAGCUUAGCAGAAAAAUGUUAUGUGACCUUUAAGAAUAGGAUAAAGUACAUCUUUAACAAAAGCAAAGAUUAAAAAACAAAUUGUAGAAUAAAUAGAAAGUGCUACAAAACAAUACAAAAUCGUCCCACUAUCACAUGCAGAUGUGUCACUUUGCAAUGGGGCAAUGAUGAAUAGUACACAGAACAACCAAAUAAGUUUUUACGAUUUAUAAACAAUUUAAAGAUAUUUUAAAGUGUUAUGUACUGUUCUAAUUCCAGAGAUGUUUAUUUAUGUAAAUGGUGUGAGGCUUUACCAUGUAUAUAAUAGGCCAAUGGCUAUGCUGUGCACGCGAAACAUGUCCUGCCCCUUUAAAUCACGAAGGGAGUUACCAUGGAAACUGAAGGAGCACGAGGACAGCUAGCUCCGUCUCCCGCGGUUUCUUCGCUGUUUUCAAGUAAGUUUAGUCCAUCAAAUCACACAAAUAAUACUAAAACCUGUUGUUGACACGCUUUUGUUAUAUAUUUACCUCAUAUAAAUGGCUUGUGUCUUUGAGAAAAGUUCGUUACCAUCCCAACAUGUUUCCGCACAUGCGGUCGGAACUGUGCUUCCGGUUUCUGUUGGUUUACUUGCUAAACUGAUCUCUUGAAAAAAUAACUCGUCGAAAAUAUUUUUUUGUUUCCAAUGUAAUAUACGUGUUGUUAAUUUGCUUGUUAUAAGCUAGGACUUUGUUGUUAUUUUUGCUUAGCAGAGUUUAACGGAAGUUACGUGUUUUCCACAAAAGCCUCUUUACUGUAUGUAUGUUACUGCUGAAACCGUCUAUAAGCGUUAGCUUUUGCUCUUGUUUAUGAACGUUUGGGCUUUUGAAAACAUAGAUGAGAGGUUUCAAAGUCUUUGUUAACGUUGUCAGUGCAUGACUGGAAGUACGCAAAUUUAUUUAGUCUAAAUAUGCGAUGUACUGUAACGUCUAAACUAGGGGUGUCAACAAUAAUCGAUUCGGCAAUGCAUCGCAAUGCGGGCAUGCACGAUUCAGCAUCGAUGCAGCAAAGUGCCAUAAUCGAUUAUGUAUGUCACUGUUUAUUUUCUGGCCUCGAGUGGACAAUAAAGUUGUUUCAAUUACUUCCGGGAGCAUAACAACAACAAUCAAGAUGGCUGAGGCGGAGAGAGAUGACAGUGAUAGACAGGAGUGACAAAAACCCUCUAUAAUAGAAGAGAAGCUCAAGAUUUCAACAUUUUCUGAAGGGAGUUGCAGACAGGUGUAGAAAACUGCUUUUCAAAUUUUCCACAUUUAUCACAGUUAUUUUAAGAUGUUGACAUCUAAACAUUGAAUGUUAUGUUUGUAGAUUUGUCCAUGCUAAUGGCCGAGCAGUAGGGUUGGAACAGACCUGUCAGAAAACAUCUCUGAACCAUAUGACUAAUUUCAAAACAAUUUAUUCUUGAGAGGAGGCACCACAGUUAAAGACAGUGUUUUGAAGAAUUUUGAACUUCCUGCUCACAAACUACCUACUUCUCCAGUUAGUCUGACAGGCUAUCAAUGAGAAUGCGGCAUUACAGGACACCACUGAAAACUAUACCACUAAAAACUGAUUAUUGCUGCAGUCAGAAGAAACAGAUUAACAGCAACUAUCUGCUUGAGACCAAGAGAUUGAGCACUGGGUUAAGACAUGGUUGCAGCUUGCCACAGACAGAGAUGAAGGUCGUUGGGCAAAAGAGAAGAUUUAAAGGCAUAGCUCACCCAAAAAUGGAAACUCAUUUACUUACCAUCAAGAUGUUUCAAACUCUAUCAAAUGUAUUUGUUCAGUUACUGACUGUUAUAAAUUAUACAGGUUUGGAACAACCUUUGGGUGAGCAAAAUUACAGUUUUAAUUUUAAUUAGUGAACUAUCCCUAUUGUGAGUUUUAUAAGUUUAUUAAGAAAUGUUGAGUAUUAUAUCAGAGUUCUGUAUGUAAGGAGAUGGUAGUUGUACGUUUGUGUGUUAAUAUAGAUGGUUUCAGUGGCAACAACAUAAAUCACUUUCAUGGCCCAAACUUAACUUCGGGUAGACCUCCACAUAGAUUCAAUAACAACCGAGUAUCUCUGGAGCAGUUUUUUUUCUGAUAACAAACAAAAUAAAUAACCAGUAAAUAGCCUUAGAUCAAAUCAUAGCUAAAGCAUUUCAACCAUUACAUUGAUCUAAUGUUACUGGGUAAAAUUAAGCUUUACAAUUUUAGCUACAGAUCUUUGAAAAUGUUUGUACGGUAUACUGCCCAUUUCCAGAAAGGUAAUAAAAACAGCGUGCACAGUGACGCUGCUGACGUGUUAUCCUCAGACAUGUUUGUGAAGAUUGUUUUGUUUAUAGUGUGCGUCUCCCUCAGACUGUAAAAAAAGCUUGGGCAAACAAGAUAACAUGUCAGCAGCGUCACUCCAGUGUUGUGCACGAGGUUCACAACAGACCUGGAAGAGAAGACGAUGCUGAAUAAAGUCAUAAUUUCUGUUAUUUUUGGACCAAAAUUUAUUUUCGAUGCUUCAACACAUUCUAACUGACCCACUGAUAUCACAUGGACUACUUUGAUGAUGUACAGUAUAUAUUUGAUCGUGUAUACACAUAUCUAAAACAUCUUAAACUGUUUCCGAAGAUGAACGGAGGUGUUACGGGUUUGGAAUGACAUGAGGGUCAUUAAUUACAUAAUUUUCAUUUUGGAUGAAAUAACCCUUUAAGUUUGGCCAGGUGUGUAACUGUGGCAACGCACAUGCAUCUAUGGGUUCCAGUAUAUCUUACUAUAUAACAUAUUAAUUUAACUAACAUGUUUGACAAAUAUAAUUAUGUUUAUUUAUAAAUAUUAUCUGUAUUGGAUUUUUUAAAUGUUUAAUAAAGAAAUUUUGACUAUAUGAGUUUUAGUUUUUUCUUAACUAUAGGUUAAUUAGCAUAUAGUAAGAGUAGAUGUGUGCCACAGCUUAGAAGACGCUACUGCAUGGAAUGACAGCA